RNAcentral lists this ribosomal RNA (494 nucleotides) under uncultured bacterium. Its description in RNAcentral is "partial 16S ribosomal RNA". It matches the Rfam family "Bacterial small subunit ribosomal RNA", at positions 28 to 504 of the family's 1533-position model. The record is from RNAcentral.
GAUGAACGCUGGCGGCGUGCCUAAUACAUGCAAGUCGAGCGAACAGACGAGGAGCUUGCUCCUCUGACGUUAGCGGCGGACGGGUGAGUAACACGUGGAUAACCUACCUAUAAGACUGGGAUAACUUCGGGAAACCGGAGCUAAUACCGGAUAAUAUAUUGAACCGCAUGGUUCAAUAGUGAAAGACGGUUUUGCUGUCACUUAUAGAUGGAUCCGCGCCGCAUUAGCUAGUUGGUAAGGUAACGGCUUACCAAGGCAACGAUGCGUAGCCGACCUGAGAGGGUGAUCGGCCACACUGGAACUGAGACACGGUCCAGACUCCUACGGGAGGCAGCAGUAGGGAAUCUUCCGCAAUGGGCGAAAGCCUGACGGAGCAACGCCGCGUGAGUGAUGAAGGUCUUCGGAUCGUAAAACUCUGUUAUUAGGGAAGAACAAAUGUGUAAGUAACUAUGCACGUCUUGACGGUACCUAAUCAGAAAGCCACGGCUAACGAC